Molecule: ribosomal RNA, 468 nt
Filed under: uncultured bacterium
Lineage: Bacteria
Description: partial 16S ribosomal RNA
Rfam family: Bacterial small subunit ribosomal RNA
Source: RNAcentral
GACGAACGCUGGCGGCGCGCCUAACACAUGCCAGUCGAACGGAGUCACGAGGAGCUUGCUUUUCUUGACUUAGUGGCGAACGGGUGAGUAACGCGUGAGUAACCUGCCCUGGAGUGGGGGACAACAGUUGGAAACGACUGCUAAUACCGCAUAAGCCCACGGAUCUGCAUGGAUCUGCGGGAAAAGGAUUUAUUCGCUCUAGGAUGGACUCGCGUCCAAUUAGCUAGUUGGUGAGGUAACGGCCCACCAAGGCGACGAUUGGUAGCCGGACUGAGAGGUUGAACGGCCACAUUGGGACUGAGACACGGCCCAGACUCCUACGGGAGGCAGCAGUGGGGGAUAUUGCACAAUGGGGGAAACCCUGAUGCAGCGACGCCGCGUGGAGGAAGAAGGUUUUCGGAUUGUAAACUCCUGUCGUGAGGGACGAUAAUGACGGUACCUAACAAGAAAGCACCAGCUAACUACGUG